This 116-nucleotide small nucleolar RNA is filed under the name Nannospalax galili (Upper Galilee mountains blind mole rat). RNAcentral describes it as "Small nucleolar RNA SNORA70 (ENSNGAG00000005034.1)". It matches the Rfam family "Small nucleolar RNA SNORA70". Rfam says of the family: snoRNA U70 seems to be exclusive to mammals and is a member of the H/ACA class of snoRNA which contain H (ANANNA) and ACA box motifs. H/ACA box snoRNAs are involved in the conversion of uridines to pseudouridines (5-ribosyluracil) a constituent of structural RNAs (transfer, ribosomal, small nuclear, and small nucleolar). The record is from Rfam by way of RNAcentral. Lineage: Eukaryota; Metazoa; Chordata; Mammalia; Rodentia; Spalacidae.
CUGCAGCCAAUUAAGCCGACCAGGUCCCUUUCUUCAUGGGAGCCAGGUGUGCAAUGGCUGCAAACAGCAACCUCCUCGGUAGUGUAUGCAGGCUGUUGCAUCCCUUGGAGAUAGUU